RNAcentral lists this ribosomal RNA (253 nucleotides) under uncultured bacterium. RNAcentral's name for it is "partial 16S ribosomal RNA". It matches the Rfam family "Bacterial small subunit ribosomal RNA", at positions 524 to 776 of the family's 1533-position model. The record is from RNAcentral.
UACGUAGGGUGCGAGCGUUGUCCGGAAUUAUUGGGCGUAAAGGGCUCGUAGGCGGUUUGUCGCGUCGGGAGUGAAAUCCACUGGCUUAACUGGUGGCUUGCUUUCGAUACGGGCAGACUGGAGGUAUGCAGGGGAGAACGGAAUUCCUGGUGUAGCGGUGAAAUGCGCAGAUAUCAGGAGGAACACCGGUGGCGAAGGCGGUUCUCUAGUACGGUACUGACGCUGAGACGCGAAAGCGUGGGGAGCGAACAGG